UACGUAGGGUGCGAGCGUUAAUCGGAAUUACUGGGCGUAAGGCGUGCGCAGGCGGCCGAGCAAGUCGAGUGUGAAAGCCCCGAGCUUAACUUGGGAACUGCGCUCGAAACUACUUGGCUAGAGUGUGGCAGAGGGAGGUGGAAUUCCACGUGUAGCGGUGAAAUGCGUAGAGAUGUGGAGGAACACCGGUGGCGAAGGCAGCCUCCUGGGCUAACACUGACGCUCAUGCACGAAAGCGUGGGGAGCAAACAGG
RNAcentral lists this ribosomal RNA (253 nucleotides) under uncultured bacterium. RNAcentral's name for it is "partial 16S ribosomal RNA". It matches the Rfam family "Bacterial small subunit ribosomal RNA", at positions 524 to 776 of the family's 1533-position model. The record is from RNAcentral.